GAAAAAAAAAAAAAAAAGCAAGGAAAUGGGUGGGAAUCUUUCUUCGUCUUUCACUGUGUAGUUGAUCCCACAUCGCCACCUCUCCUUUCCCUGAUACUGAGACAAAGUUAGAUUUUCUGUGCUUCUGGCAUUAGCCUAUGAGCAUUUCUACCUAUGGGAUUGUCAUGUGGGGAGCAUGAUUUCGAUAAGAGAGAAAGUGAAGUCCCACUGAUAGAUGAGACUAGACAGAGCAGACAAAGGUGUAGUGACAUGGAUUUACACCAUCAUCAUCAUCAUCAUCAU
This 282-nucleotide unclassified non-coding RNA is filed under the name Hevea brasiliensis (rubber tree). Lineage: Eukaryota; Viridiplantae; Streptophyta; Magnoliopsida; Malpighiales; Euphorbiaceae. The record is from RNAcentral.